GAUUGAAACGACUGCUAAGACUGGAUAGGAAACAAAAAGGCAUCUUUUUGUUUUUAAAAGACCUUCUUACGAAGGUAUGCUUAAAGAGGGGCUUGCGCCACAUUAGUUAGUUGGUAGGGUAAAAGCCUACCAAGACGAUGAUGUGUAGCUGGACUGAGAGGUUGAACAGCCACAUUGGGACUGAGACACGGCCCAAACUCCUACGGGAGGCAGCAGUAGGGAAUUUUCGGCAAUGGAGGAAACUCUGACCGAGCAACGCCGCGUGAACGAUGAAGUAUUUCGGUAUGUAAAGUUCUUUUAUUGAAGAAGAAAAAGUAGUGGAAAAACUAUAUUGACGUUAUUCAAUGAAUAAGCCCCGGCUAACUAUGUGCCAGCAGCCGCGGUAAGACAUAGGGGGCGAGCGUUAUCCGGAAUUAUUGGGCGUAAAGGGUGCGUAGGCUGUUAGAUAAGUCUAUAAUUUAAUUUCAGUGCUUAACGCUGUCUUGUUAUAGAAACUGUCUUGACUAGAGUGAGAUAGAGGCAAGCGGAAUUCCAUGUGUAGCGGUAAAAUGUGUAAAUACAUGGAGGAACACCAGAAGCGUAGGCGGCUUGCUGGGUCUUUACUGACGCUGAGGCACGAAAGCGUGGGUAGCAAACAGGAUUAGAUACCCUGGUAGUCCACGCCGUAAACGAUGAGUACUAAGUGUCGGGGUAAAACUCGGUACUGAAGUUAACACAUUAAGUACUCCGCCUGAGUAGUACGUACGCAAGUAUGAAACUUAAAGGAAUUGACGGCACUCCGCACAAGCGGUGGAUCAUGUUGUUUAAUUCGAAGAUACACGAAAAAUCUUACCAGGUCUUGACAUACUCUGCAAAGCUAUAGAAAUAUAGUGGAGGUUAUCAGGGAUACAGGUGGUGCAUGGUUGUCGUCAGUUCGUGUCGUGAGAUGUUAGGUUAAGUCCUAAAACGAGCGCAACCCUUGUCGUUAAUUGCCAGCACGUAAUGGUGGGGACUUUAGCGAGACUGCCAAUUAAACAUUGGAGGAAGGUGAGGAUUACGUCAAAUCAUCAUGCCCCUUAUGAUCUGGGCUACAAACGUGAUACAAUGGCUGUGACAAAGAGUAGCUGAAACGCGAGUUUUUAGCCAAUCUCAAAAAAGCAGUCUCAGUUCGGAUUGAAGUCUGUAACUCGACUUCAUGAAGUUGGAAUCGCUAGUAAUCGCGAAUCAGCAUGUCGCGGUGAAUACGUUCUCGGGGUUUGUACACACCGCCCGUCAAAUC
Molecule: ribosomal RNA, 1258 nt
Filed under: Candidatus Phytoplasma trifolii
Lineage: Bacteria; Bacillati; Mycoplasmatota; Mollicutes; Acholeplasmatales; Acholeplasmataceae
Description: bacterial SSU rRNA
Rfam family: Bacterial small subunit ribosomal RNA
Source: RNAcentral